UACGGAGGGUGCAAACGUUGCUCGGAAUCAUUGGGCGUAAAGCGCACGUAGGCGGCCUGAUAAGUCGGGUGUGAAAGCCCUGGGCUCAACCCAGGAAGUGCACUCGAAACUGUCAGGCUUGAAUAUGGAAGAGGGUCGCGGAAUUCCAGGUGUAGCGGUGAAAUGCGUAGAUAUCUGGAGGAACACCGGUGGCGAAGGCGGUAUUCUGGACCAUAACUGACACUGAGAGACGAAAGCCAGGGGAGCAAACGGG
Molecule: ribosomal RNA, 253 nt
Filed under: uncultured bacterium
Lineage: Bacteria
Description: partial 16S ribosomal RNA
Rfam family: Bacterial small subunit ribosomal RNA
Source: RNAcentral